RNAcentral lists this ribosomal RNA (437 nucleotides) under uncultured bacterium. Its description in RNAcentral is "bacterial SSU rRNA". It matches the Rfam family "Bacterial small subunit ribosomal RNA", at positions 30 to 466 of the family's 1533-position model. The record is from RNAcentral.
AUUGAACGCUGGCGGCGUGCCUAACACAUGCAAGUCGAGCGGUAACAGGUGUAGCAAUACAUGCUGACGAGCGGCGAACGGGUGAGUAAUGCUUCGGAAUCUACCUUAUGGUGGGGAAUAACUAGCCGAAAGGUUAGCUAAUACCGCAUACGUCCUACGGGAGAAAGCAGGGGAUCGUAAGACCUUGCGCCAAAAGAUGAGCCGAAGUCGGAUUAGCUAGUUGGUAGGGUAACGGCCUACCAAGGCGACGAUCCGUAGCUGGUCUGAGAGGACGACCAGCCACACUGGGACUGAGACACGGCCCAGACUCCUACGGGAGGCAGCAGUGGGGAAUAUUGGACAAUGGGGGAAACCCUGAUCCAGCGACGCCGCGUGUGUGAAGAAGGCCUGCGGGUUGUAAAGCACUUUAGUGGGGAUGAAAUGUGCAGGAUUAAUAC